GACGAACGCUGGCGGCGUGCCUAAUACAUGCAAGUCGAGCGGACUGACUGGGAGCUUGCUCUUGUUCGGUCAGCGGCGGACGGGUGAGUAACACGUGGACAACCUGCCCGCAAGACCGGGAUAACUCCGGGAAACCGGAGCUAAUACCGGAUAACACCCAACACCGCGUGGGCGUUGGGUGAAAGGCGGCGCAAGCUGCCAGUUUCGGGGGGGCCCGCGGCGCAUGAGCUGGUUGGUGGGGUCACGGCUUACCAAGGCAGCGAUGCGGAGACGGCCUGAGGGGGUGAGUGGCCACACUGGGACUGAGACACGGCCCAGAGGCCUAGGGGAGGGGGCCGUAGGGAAUCUUGCGGAAUGGGGGAGAGCAUGAGGGAGAGAGGCGGCGUGCGGGAGGAAGGACGUCGGGUCGUAGAGGUCUGUUGUGAGGGAGGAAGGCGCGCUGUUUGGAGACGGCGGGGGGGUGACGGUAACUGACGAGGAAGCCCCGGCUAACUACGUG
Molecule: ribosomal RNA, 499 nt
Filed under: uncultured bacterium
Lineage: Bacteria
Description: partial 16S ribosomal RNA
Rfam family: Bacterial small subunit ribosomal RNA
Source: RNAcentral